RNAcentral lists this transfer RNA (90 nucleotides) under bacterium. RNAcentral describes it as "tRNA-Ser". It matches the Rfam family "tRNA". From Rfam's summary of the family: Transfer RNA (tRNA) molecules are approximately 80 nucleotides in length. The record is from RNAcentral.
GGAGAGUUGGCAGAGUGGUCGAAUGCGCAUCCUUGGAAAGGAUGUAUAUGGGCAACCGUAUCGAGGGUUCGAAUCCCUCACUCUCCGCAA